This is a long non-coding RNA of Triticum aestivum (bread wheat), 4192 nucleotides long. RefSeq lists it as uncharacterized. The record is from RefSeq and is a predicted model, not a curated record. NCBI's taxonomy places the organism in Eukaryota, Viridiplantae, Streptophyta, Magnoliopsida, Poales, Poaceae. The transcript has 4 exons.
CGAACAGAAAAAACCGGACGAAGUGGGAGCGAGCCCCCUCGCAGGAACCAGAGAUCCAAGCCCUAUGUCGCCGCCGCCGAUGCCUCCUCCUCCACCUCCAUUCCCAAGCGACGGCGCCCGCGGACGCGGUCUUCUACCCCAACCACCAUGGCUGCAGAUCCACCCACGGCCGAUCGUCUAAGCUGCAAGCAUGGAUCGAUGGCUCCAGGAAGGUAUCCAUCCUCCCUGGGUGGAGCGAGUUGCAGAUCUCGUCCGGCCCUCUGGAGCCGGCCAUCUCCGCCUCCUCCUCGCCGCCGCUGCCGGGGAUCACGUCUUCACCAAGCGCGAGCUCCGCCCCAUCCGACCGACCGCAAAGGGAUUGACCAUUGUAAAUAUUCAAGGAGAUUCAAAUGUUCCUCUUCUGGCCGAUUGAAGUUCAAUAAGGAUGCUGAUAAGGUGAUUGAGGUAAUGAAGCUUAGGGUUGUCUACACAUUGCCCAGUGGAAGGUCAGACAACUCUGGUGUUACAUCUUUAGCAAAUAGGAGCUUUAGGCAGGGCACUGAUGAUUUGACGGUGAUAUUGGUUAGCUCUAUGUCCUAUUUAGGAAACAUAUUGAUUUAUUAAUAUUUUUUAAGUAUAAAAGCUAACUAUAAUCUGCACAAGAGCCAAACCUGCAGAAGGUUAGAGUGUGUGCAGCAGUUUCAGAACCUAGGGAAAACUAGCCUGACUGGUCUCUUUAAUAUUUAGUGAGUCUGUCCAUGCACUUUUAAUUCUACUCACCACUAAAGAUAUCUACAACUUUCAUGUUGAACGCAUAGUUUAAUUCAAACAGUAACAUGGUCUAAGUCCGCAUACAAGGUUACUGUACACAGAAUUACAUAAGGAUUAACUUUUGGACUGUGAAACUAAAUUGGACUGCUACUUUUAAACCGUACAUCGAAAUAGUGCAAAUAGAUAGUCUAUAGAAAGCAUGGGACAUAUCUCUCCUUUUUUUUGGCGAUUGAUCUCCACAUUAUGUUUGGAGUCCAAGUGAAAAUUAUGCAGUUUUUGAUAGAGGAUUUGGAAAGGCCGAAUCUGUUUAGUAGGUGGAUUACCCAAAACAGUUGACUUCAUCCAACCCAACCUCACAUCACUGUAUAAAGUUUGUAGCACUUAUUUUAUAUGCAGAGCACUUGUGAACUAGGAUUUUGACCAAAAGAUUUCGAGUGUUUUAUGGGAGCUUGCAUUGCAGGGAUACUUGAAGCUAGGGCAAUCCAAGUAAGAUAGCUUCAUCCUCAGACAACAGGUUUAUGUUAUCUUAUCAUGGAGUCAUUUUUAAGUUCGUGCCCAACGCAUGCAUGUAAAUAUGUAAUACACCAACUUUGUUCUUUUAUUUUUUUCGAUUGACUAAGUUUACCUUUUCAAUUUACAUUCCCUUUAUAGCUAGCAAAUGGUCUCCAGAGGAUUUUUUAGAAGUUCAAAUCCAGUAAUUAAAUGUUGAUCGCAUAAGGCAGGCUGAUGGUAUCUUGGUCGAAGAAUUUUAUUCCUACUGGAUGGAACUAGAACUGUUCUUCCUAAAUAUGUUGGCAUGCAAAGAACAAUAUCUAUCUAAAAUGUCUUUUGGCUCAUUUGUUUUGCGUGCUCAGGUUAAACAAGUGCAAUCUGAAAUUAAGAAAGCUUCUUUUAUGGUAACAUACAGGAAAGUUCUUAUAUAUGCAGUUACCUAUGCACACAUGAUAUUGUGUUUCUAACCUCAUUUGUUCUGUGUUGCAGGUUAAGAAAUUUACAGUUUAAAAAUUAAUAAAGCAGCGAUCCCCUUCCUAUAGUCAAUAAUGCUUAUUAGGAGUCCUGAUAUUCCAAUAGUCCAGAAAUGGUUAUGUAAAAUACAUAAUAUUCACUGUUGUUGGCAUUUUCACAAUUAGCUUGCUUUUAUCUCACUGCAAUUCAUUGCUCAUGGCUUAUACUGGCUUUUCUGUUAUGAAUGUUCUCUUUCUUUAGGAAUCUGGCUACUGUUUGGUGCCAACUGCUGUGUGAUGGUAAUAGGGAGCGCAUGUACGUGCAGCUGUGGAAUGAUCACCCAAAUCACCUCAAUCAGAAAGGGGAGGCCAAACUAUGAUAUGGUUUAGUACCAGUUGAUGGAGCAACAGAAGGUAAUGCCUAUCUUAGUGAUUCUAAGCUCAUUUCCCCCCAAUAAGUGUUCCUUGCAAAAUGAUAUUUUGCAUCCAAUAUAAUUUAAUUCAUGGGCUUCUUUACAUCAAAUAUAUUUUGUACUGGGUUGAUGGAGUUGGCCUGUGUUUGCAUUUGAUAAUGCUUUCUUAAGAGGCUUUUUAUGACACCCGUACAUAGUAUCUUUGGCAUUUUGAAGGAUAGUUGUAUUUGGUUACCUGUAUUAUAAUUAUUCUGGAGUGAAUUAAAUCAGAAGCUAAUUUUAUCAAAAGGCAGUUUCCUUUCCUAUGAGGCUAUGAUGGCAACCAUAAUUAUGCCCGUGUGAAAUUAAAACAAGCAUUUUAGAUGCAGUUUGUGGAAAAUGUCAUUCUUUUUCCAAGCCUUGAUGCUAUCGUCAAAUUAAUAGAUGAAAUGCCUUACCUCUUAUAAAUUAAAUAUUUCUAUUGCUUAGGUUAAGACUGUUACAGUUUUUGUUGAUCGUGAUAAGGUUCCUGGUUGCAGACUGAGAUCUCCGCAAACAGAAAAUAGAUUAUCCUUUUAUAAGAAGUAGGGUACGGAUAUUCAUUUAUCUUUGGUUUUUUAGGUAGAGGUUUGUUCGCUAAAUCAUACUAAAUCAAAGACAUUUAUUUUGGGAUGGAGGGAGUACUAGAUAAGAUCAUGCUCUCUUUGUGAAGUAAACAAGAUAGUAGCACGAAAUGUUUGCUUUCCUUUUUCUUUUUCCAGUUAGAGGUAUUAGUUGAUAUUACAAAUAAAUCUUUGUUUAUUUGUAUAGUAUGUUCUCCAUUGUAAGACAAAAUCUGAAUUUCAGAUAGCUGGACAAGAUCUGUCUUACAGGUACUUGUGCAGAGAUGUUAAUUUAAGCAAUGUACUAGCAUAUUGUGUGAUGCAACAAUUUGCAAACCUAGAGUAGCCCUUCUUUGGCCUGCUUAUCGGGUCUGUUUUUGAAUGAUCAUGUUCACUAAUGUCCCUGCUUUUCUAAUGUAACUCUGUCACUAGGCCCUGAGCUGCACCUUCCUUUUGCAAGGUAUGUUGUGCGGCUGUGUUUGUGUGAUUUUGUUGCUACAUGAGUAAGUUUUGGGGAAUUGAGGCUGCAGUCAUAUUGUUAUCUGCAAUAAUAAAGGCCAAAUGAAGCUAUAAGCGGGCGCGCUUUGACGAAUGAGCUAUGACACAAUAUUUGAUAUAUUUCUCUGAGGGUCUCUGUUGUUUCUUUCAGCAGUGUGCUCUCUGGCCUCCUUUUCCUUUGCAUGCAUUACAUUUGUUAUUUCAAUCUCAUGUGUCUCUAUGCCACGAAGAUAACUAGCAAUAGAACGUGAAUAAAGUAGUACACUUCUUUGUCUGGUUGUGUACAUUGUCUGUAUUGUUUGACGCAUCCACCGCCUGCAUGCUGGAGCAGAUCAAUAACAUCCAAGAAAAACACCUCCAUCUCAACACAGCUGAAAUGAGCAGCCCGCUAAAAAAAAUAUAAGACUAAUAUUACAACAGCGAAAAACGGCGCAGCAAAGCGCAUGUUAUCCUCUAGCAAUCAUUUCUUCACUAUAUAUUAUGAAAAUACACCUGUUUGUCUUGACAGAGUUGAUUUUGUGAGUUUAUGUAUGAAAAUCAACAACAUAAAUGUUUCCUAUUUGAUAGAUUUACUUGAUUAUAAAUAUAUCUUUCACACUAUUAAAUGCCCCAGUGCAACGCGUGUUCCCUGGUCCCACCCAGCCACCAUCACAUGCCUCCUCACACUAACCGCACAUAUCCCGGUGCUGCAAUCACCCCCACGAUCACAACUUGUUGUGAGUUGUCUGGGGGACGACGAUGUGGCAAGCUGCACCUGGCGAUGGGCGAAAGCUGCAAGUGACACGAGGGUGUAGGUGAUUGCUGCCACCGGUCACUGCUUUGCUGGAACCAACAUCGGCAAAUGCUACUACCGCGGUCACCACAUGCUGCAAUCGGAUUUCAAAGAAGCACUCGAAAUAAAGCUGUGUGGCUGGAAUUCCGAUAUAUCUAAAUGGCAACGUUUAUUUUUAUUUGGUAUUCUAGCGAGUAUAGACGGUAAUGAAUUCAUAAUAAAAAUAUUUAUUUU